CGGUAAUACGGAGGAUCCAAGCGUUAUCCGGAAUCAUUGGGUUUAAAGGGUCCGUAGGCGGUUUAGUAAGUCAGUGGUGAAAGCCCAUCGCUCAGCGGUGGAACGGCCAUUGAUACUGCUAAACUUGAAUUAUUAGGAAGUAACUAGAAUAUGUAGUGUAGCGGUGAAAUGCUUAGAGAUUACAUGGAAUACCAAUUGCGAAGGCAGGUUACUACUAAUGGAUUGACGCUGAUGGACGAAAGCGUGGGUAGCGAACAGGAUUAGAUACCCUGGUAGUCCACGCCGUAAACGAUGGAUACUAGCUGUUGGAAGCAAUUUCAGUGGCUAAGCGAAAGUGAUAAGUAUCCACACUGGGGAGUACGUUCGCAAGAAUGAA
Molecule: ribosomal RNA, 376 nt
Filed under: uncultured bacterium
Lineage: Bacteria
Description: bacterial SSU rRNA
Rfam family: Bacterial small subunit ribosomal RNA
Source: RNAcentral